Scatophagus argus is the source of this 1606-nucleotide long non-coding RNA. RefSeq lists it as uncharacterized. The record is from RefSeq and is a predicted model, not a curated record. Lineage: Eukaryota; Metazoa; Chordata; Actinopteri; Scatophagidae. The transcript is spliced from 6 exons.
CUCUGAGAAGCUGUUCUCCACCAUGUGCUUAAGGGCCAGACCCGUCAUGGUGCCUUUCUCCAUGUACUCGAUCUGGAAAAGUCCCAGACCAGCACACCGUUGAUGAGGGCCCGUAAUGCGGCUCAGACUUUAGAUUUUAUGAUGGUGCAUCUGGUAUUAAACGUAAACAUGAAGAUAAUUUGUUGAAAGUUCACCUUCAUGACUGCAGCUUUGAUCUCCUCUGCAGUGUGGUACAUGUUGAGAGGGAACUCAGUCCUGACCCGGCUCGAGUACUGAACCAGACCAACUCUGGUGCCGUGAGCAGACACGUCCAGGGAGUCCACGACCUGGAGCACAUGAGGAGGUUGACCCUGACAAACACAUCUGUGCGGCAGCGGGAGCAGCGAUCGAAGUCUCAAUCUGGACUGGAUGAUAAAUGAGAGUGUCUGCACUGCCAUGAAUCUCCAUAUGGAGGUGCUGUAUGAGAGCUGCUGGCAGACACUUUGGGUUCCUCUCAGCCUCCCCAGAGGACAGAACGAUUCAAAAGAUCAUGGCGUCAUCGUCCAGCCAGUUCCGGCCAGACAUAAGUAAGCUCUGGAGGCUUUUCCCCCCUUCGGUGAGGCUCAUCUGAUCACACCACAGGCCAUCUGAGUGUCCGACUCGGUGCAGCACAGAGUGAAGCACAGUGUCGCCUCAGAUCUGCCUCCAUAUCCCGGGUUUCUCCACACCAUCUCACAUGUUGGUGAAUUUGUGCUUGUCAGACUGUCUUACACUAAGCUGAGCCUCUGCUGUGAUGCCCACACUGGGAAACACUCAGUGGUCAGUGGACUUACUGCCGCAGCUCUUGCCAUCCUCCUGCAGCAGUUGUCCCUCUGGACAGAUGCAGUAAUAAGAUCCUGGAGUGCUCACACACUGGUGCUCACAGCCAUGUUCCACAGUGUUACACAGAUCCACGUCUGCAAGAACACACACAUCGCAGCUGAAGACGCCAGGCGCGCUGAUGCAGAUCUGUUCACAGUCGUGUUUCCCCUCGGCACACAGUCGCAGGUGAAGACGCCAGGUGCGCUGACGCAGAUUUGUUCACAGUCGUGUUUCCCCUCAGCGCACAAGUCGAUGGCUAAACAACACACACACAUCGAGUUAAGUCGCAGGUGAAGGAAGCAGGAGAGCUGACACAGAUUUGUUCGCAGUCGUGUUUUCCCUCAGUGCACAGAUCGAUGGCUGAAACACACACGGCAACAAUCUGCUGAAGUGUAUCCAGGCAGACACGAGCAGUGGUACGAGCCCGGGGAGCUUUCACAGAUGUGCUCGCAGCCGUGUUCUGACUCCAGACACAGAUCCACACCUGCAGCGGAGAUCGCAUCAGCUUCAGCAUCAGCACGGUAACAACAAGCUGCAGGGUCAUGAUCAGCUCCUGAGAACUCAUUCAACCCAUCAGCUUCUCAGUACGACUGAUGGACUCAGAUACGAGCACAUUUUGGAUUUUCUGCCAAAACUGGAACUAUUUUCAUUAUUCACAGAGGUUUGAAGUUUCAUUUUCAAUUUUGUUUUUGUUUCUCAUUUUUAACACAUAAUGCCCAAACAUCUAUGAUAACCUGAAAUAAAUUGUAAACCCACCAUGACAUCA